Molecule: long non-coding RNA, 342 nt
Organism: Solanum verrucosum
Lineage: Eukaryota; Viridiplantae; Streptophyta; Magnoliopsida; Solanales; Solanaceae
Exons: 2
Source: RefSeq, a predicted model, not a curated record
AUAAAUAGUAAGUCAGACAUUAGAAAGUCUACAAAUUUUACAAACUCAAAGAGUGUUUCAACAAUAUGAGAUCUCUCUCUAUUUUCUUCCUUCUCCUAUCUCUUUCUUUGUUGGGAUAUGUAAUUAGUGAUGGUCCAGAAGAAUAUUGGAAGAGCAAAAUGAAUGGAGAUCCAAUGCCUAAAGCACUCAAGGACCUUCUUAAUGAUCAAUAUCAAGAUUUUCCAAUAGAAAGGAACAAAUUUGUUAGAAAUUUUGAUUUGAAGGCUAAUAUUAUUAUUUAUCAUAAUGAUGUUGAUAUAUAUCCAAAAAGAUCCAGGCCUACUCCUUAGGAUGAUCAUUUUU